RNAcentral lists this small nucleolar RNA (136 nucleotides) under Neotoma lepida (desert woodrat). RNAcentral's name for it is "Small nucleolar RNA SNORA5". It matches the Rfam family "Small nucleolar RNA SNORA5". From Rfam's summary of the family: ACA5 is a member of the H/ACA class of snoRNA that guide the sites of modification of uridines to pseudouridines. The record is from Rfam by way of RNAcentral. Lineage: Eukaryota; Metazoa; Chordata; Mammalia; Rodentia; Cricetidae.
UGCAGUCAAGUCAAAUUCAGUCCCUGUCCUGUCAUGACAGGAACUGGCCCAGAUGGCUGCCACAACAAGUUCUGCUGCUCAUGGGCCCUGGGUCCCCUAUUNUGGGACCUAGGGAUAAGUUUGGCUGCAGACAUUG